This 285-nucleotide ribosomal RNA is filed under the name uncultured bacterium. Its description in RNAcentral is "partial 16S ribosomal RNA". It matches the Rfam family "Bacterial small subunit ribosomal RNA", at positions 154 to 454 of the family's 1533-position model. The record is from RNAcentral.
AAACUUGUGCUAAUACCGGAUAAGUCUUUACGGAGAAAGCUUUAUGCACCAUUGGAUGAGCCUGCACUUGAUUAGUUUGUUGGUAGGGUAAUGGCCUACCAAGACUGUGAUCAAUAGCUGAUUUGAGAGGAUGAUCAGCCACAUUGGGACUGAGACACGGCCCAAACUCCUACGGGAGGCAGCAGUGGGGAAUCUUGCACAAUGGAGGAAACUCUGAUGCAGCGAUGCCGCGUGAGUGAAGAAGGCCCUUGGGUUGUAAAGCUCUUUCGUCGGGGAAGAAAAUGA